UGGGGAAUUUUGGACAAUGGGCGAAAGCCUGAUCCAGCAAUGCCGCGUGUGUGAAGAAGGCCUUCGGGUUGUAAAGCACUUUUGUCCGGAAAGAAAUCCUUGGCUCUAAUACAGUCGGGGGAUGACGGUACCGGAAGAAUAAGCACCGGCUAACUACGUGCCAGCAGCCGCGGUAAUACGUAGGGUGCAAGCGUUAACCGGAAUUACUGGGCGUAAAGCGUGCGCAGGCGGUUUGCUAAGACCGAUGUGAAAUCCCCGGGCUCAACCUGGGAACUGCAUUGGUGACUGGCAGGCUAGAGUAUGGCAGAGGGGGGUAGAAUUCCACGUGUAGCAGUGAAAUGCGUAGAGAUGUGGAGGAAUACCGAUGGCGAAGGCAGCCCCCUGGGCCAAUACUGACGCUCAUGCACGAAAGCGUGGGGAGCAAACAGGAUUAGAUACCCUGGUAGUCCACGCCCUAAACGAUGUCAACUAGUUGUUGGGGAUUCAUUUCCUUAGUAACGUAGCUAACGCGUGAAGUUGACCGCCUGGGGAGUACGGUCGCAAGAUUAAAACUCAAAGGAAUUGACGGGGUCAUAGCUGUUUCCU
RNAcentral lists this ribosomal RNA (585 nucleotides) under uncultured bacterium. Its description in RNAcentral is "partial 16S ribosomal RNA". It matches the Rfam family "Bacterial small subunit ribosomal RNA", at positions 355 to 1375 of the family's 1533-position model. The record is from RNAcentral.